Non-coding RNA from Sus scrofa (pig), 1535 nucleotides. NCBI's taxonomy places the organism in Eukaryota, Metazoa, Chordata, Mammalia, Artiodactyla, Suidae. The record is from RefSeq and is a predicted model, not a curated record.
GCCAUACAGUGUGCAGAAGUUCCCAGACCAAGAAACCAGAGCUACAGCAGUGAUAAUGCUGGAUCCUUAACCCACUGAGCCUCCAGAGAACUCCACUGGAACUUAGCUUUGAGUCAACAGUGUUCAUUGGGCAUCUACGCUAUACCAGACACCAUCCUUGAAGUAGGAAAUGCAGCAAUGAACAAGACAGUUGGUCCACCACCAGGGCAAGUGUACCUUCAGAAAACAAUGAACAAUUCCCCAUCAUUACCAGUGGCAUCGCUAAUGUAAAGGCAGAAGAGCUCAUGACAGCCUCACAGGUUCCCCCUCAGGGGGCCCUAAGAUGCAACUGGCAAACUGAAACAGUAAUGCCAAACAUGAGCCUACCUUGGAAUUAGCCAAAGCAGCUUGGUACAGCAUCCAAACAAGACCACAGUACAGCAUCCAAGCAAGGCUACUACUAUCAAGAUUAUGGUGCAUUUCCAUCACACUGAAAAGUUCUCUUAUGCUCUUUUGCAGACAAUCUCCUUCUCCCACACCUGGACCCUGACAACCACUAAUAUGCUUUCCAUCUCUACAAUUUUGCCUUUUAGUUGCCAUUUCAUAUAAAUGGCAUCAUACUAUACAUACUCUUUUGUGUCCAUCUUUUUUCACUUAACAUAAUGCUGAGAUUCACCUGUGUUGUGUAUAUCAGUUAUUAUUUUCUUUAUAUAGAUCUUCCAUUUUUGUAGAUUUAUGCCUGUUUCCUGAUUUUCAUGCUAAUGCAAAUAUUAUUGUUAUUUCAAUUUCUAAUUAUUGGUAACAGAAAUAUAAUUUUAUAUUAACAUCCUUUCUUGCAAAGUUGCUAACUCGCUUUUUAGAGUAACUUUGUUGUAGAUACUUUGAUGUUUCUUAUGUAGACAAUCUUGAUACCUAUGAAUAAAGACAACUUUAUUUUCUCUUUCCAAUCUGUAUGCAUGUUAUUUUUUUCUUGCCUUAUACUAGCUAGAAUCUCUAGUACAAUGUCAAAUUUAAAAAGUAUUGUGGACUUACUGGCCUUGUUACUUAUCUUAGGAGGAAAGCAUCUAGUCUUUCACAAUUAAGUAUGAUGGUAUCUGUAGAUAUAUAAUAGUUGUAGUGAAUGUUACAUGUACACUCGACAAGAAUGUGUAUUCUGCUAUUGGGUGGAAUGUUCUGGAAAUAUCAAUUUAGUCAAAAGGGCAAAGAUGUUUUCAUCAAGGUAAGGACUUCACCUUCUAUUCUAAUUUGCUGAGAGUUCGUAUUAUGAAUCUAUGUUGAUUUUUUGUCAAAUGUUUUUCUGUAUCUGUUGAAAUAAUCUUGUGCUUUUUCUCUUCUAGUCUUUUGAAAUGGUGAAAUAUAUUGAUUGAUUUUGAAAUGUUGAGCCAGCCCUGCAAUUAUAUGAUAAACCUCACUUUGUCAUGAUGUAUUAUCUUUUUAUAUCAUUGGAUUCCAUUUGCUGGUGUUUCAUUAAAAAUGUUCAUGUCUAGGAAAAUUGGUCUAUAGGAAUAUUGAUCUAUAGUUUCCUUUUUUUUUGUCUUUUGUCUUUUUAGGGCCAC